CAACGCGGACGGGGCCACAUGUAUCAUCCAUCUAUAGUAGGAGCAACAUUGGAAACCUACAGGUAUGUUCAUCAUCACAUUGCUAUGCUUUGGAGCAACCGACUGACAUACCGGCUUCUGUUUCUUCGGUGGGCGAUGUGGAUCUGUCGGUGGUUGGCGUUGUGGCGGCGGUUGGUGUGUCUGCGUUGGAUGGGGAGUGCGGUUUGUUCCGGAGGAGUGGUGUGUUCUGCGGAGGUUCGCGGAGUGUGCUGGAGGGGAACCAGGGAGAUGUUGUUGGCCCUGAUGGCGUUCCUGCUGUUCAACGGAGAUCGCCGUGUGGGUGUGAUGAUGCAGGCGGUGACUUGACAAUUCAAAAAUUGUUACAGUCUCAAUCUCAUUUUACUGAAGGAAAUGCUGGUACGGGUAGCUUAGCUACGAUCGGGAAUUCUACAAAACAAAUCAGUUGCCUGUUGUACAUCUGGCCUAGGACUUCAGAUGAAAACUAGCCUCUUGGCUAACUCUGGCAUAUUUUGACUUGUCAUGUUAAUAUGCAUUGUCCUUGGAAUAAAAGAAAAUUCAAUUCAA
Molecule: long non-coding RNA, 564 nt
Organism: Carassius gibelio (silver crucian carp)
Lineage: Eukaryota; Metazoa; Chordata; Actinopteri; Cypriniformes; Cyprinidae
Exons: 2
Source: RefSeq, a predicted model, not a curated record